CCUACGGGAGGCUGCAGUCGAGAAUCAUUCACAAUGGGGGAAACCCUGAUGGUGCGACGCCGCGUGGGGGAAUGAAGGUCUUCGGAUUGUAAACCCCUGUCAUGUGGGAGCAAAUUAAAAAGAUCGUACCACAAGAGGAAGAGACUGCUAACUCUGUGCCAGCAGCCGCGGUAAUACAGAGGUCUCAAGCGUUGUUCGGAAUCACUGGGCGUAAAGCGUGCGUAGGCUGUUUCGUAAGUCGUGUGUGAAAGGCGCGGGCUCAACCCGCGGACGGCACAUGAUACUGCGAGACUAGAGUAAGGGAGGGGGAACCGGAAUUCUCGGUGUAGCAGUGAAAUGCGUAGAUAUCGAGAGGAACACUCGUGGCGAAGGCGGGUUCCUGGACAUUAACUGACGCUGAGGCACGAAGGCCAGGGGAGCGAAAGGGAUUAGAUACCCUGGUAGUC
Molecule: ribosomal RNA, 446 nt
Filed under: uncultured bacterium
Lineage: Bacteria
Description: partial 16S ribosomal RNA
Rfam family: Bacterial small subunit ribosomal RNA
Source: RNAcentral